This 381-nucleotide ribosomal RNA is filed under the name uncultured eukaryote. RNAcentral's name for it is "partial 18S ribosomal RNA". It matches the Rfam family "Eukaryotic small subunit ribosomal RNA", at positions 592 to 976 of the family's 1831-position model. The record is from RNAcentral.
CAAUAGCGUAUAUUAAAGCUGUUGCGGUUAAAAAGCUCGUAGUUGGAUUUCUGUCAAGGACAACUGGUCCGCCCUCCGGGUGAGCACAUAGUUUGGUCUUGGCAUCUUGCUGGAAACUGUUGCUGCGCUUGGUUGUGUGGUGCAGCUUUCAGCACUUUCACUUUGAGGAAAUUGGAGUGUUUCAAGCAGGCACAUGCCUUUGGACACAGUAGCAUGGAAUAAUUAGAUUGGGCUUUUGCUCCAACUUGUUGGUUCCUGGAGCUGAGGUGAGAAUCAAUGGGGAUUGUUUGGGGCAUCCGAAUUUAGCCGUCAGAGGUGAAAUUCUUGGAUCUGCUAAAGACGGACAACUGCGAAAGCGUUUGCCCAGGAUGUUUUCAUUGA